GUUUCCGGAUGAGCCAUACAAUCGACGAGCUUUGGUAUAUGAGGAAUAAUGUCGUUGUUUUCAACGACGGAACAUAAGUUCAACAUGCAUGUAAUAGCGGCACGAGAAAUUUCCGGUUUCGUAUCAUGCAUUCGUUCUUUAAUACAAGGAAUGAGAGCGGCCAUGUAAUCAGCAACAGCCUUGGGGGAUGAUGAUGCAAGAGAGCCCAGUAAUUGCAAAGCAGCCACUUUACUAGGCCAUUUGAUAGAUGAAUCGUCUAAGUAAGAAAUCAAGCUUGGAAUUAAGCGCGUUUCUACGGCUCCUGCAGGAAGACAAUCCAAGAGGGCUUGGGCGGCCAUUUUGGCGGCUUGUCUAACUACUUCACCACGAUCCGAGAACGAAUCCAAAAUAGUAGGAAGAUAAGGAAGGAAUACAACUUCGGAAGGCGUACCCAAAUUUUUAAUAACAGUAGCAAAACCAAUCAUGGCAGCUUCACGAUGGAAUCCCGACUUCUUAUUGCGAGCUGCACGUUCCAAGCCAUCCAAAAACCCCGUAGUCUUCAAAGUGACUAAAGGGUUGUCAUUUGAAAAAAGCUGGGCAAUUUUUUUACCUACAUCAGCACAGCUUUGAGAAGUUUCAGCAUCCAACAAUUCCUGCAAUAAUUUGAGGACAUCGUCCUCUUCGUAACCCUGAAUUAACACAGAGGAUGUCAUUUCUCUGCAAUGCCGUUCCAAAUCCCACAAUUAACCCGAUUAGGCCUUGCAAUGUAGCUUGGUGGAGGACAACUAUUGAUAUUGUGAGAAUCCCUUUCAUAUACUAAAUUUUAACCGCUCGCAAAUUUAUAAUUUGCCUUACAGUUC
Molecule: non-coding RNA, 839 nt
Organism: Schizosaccharomyces pombe (fission yeast)
Lineage: Eukaryota; Fungi; Ascomycota; Schizosaccharomycetes; Schizosaccharomycetales; Schizosaccharomycetaceae
Source: the annotation of a GenBank genome assembly